Long non-coding RNA from Oreochromis niloticus (Nile tilapia), 2700 nucleotides. RefSeq lists it as uncharacterized. Lineage: Eukaryota; Metazoa; Chordata; Actinopteri; Cichliformes; Cichlidae. The record is from RefSeq and is a predicted model, not a curated record. The transcript has 3 exons.
UCACGUGAGCACAGACCCACCUCAGGUCGAGCUCAUCGUCACUAACACGAGCACUGAGACGGACAGCUAACAGCUAACGCUAACAGGUUGUGUCACAUCGUUGUUGUUGUUUAUGACUGACGUGUGCAGAGCUGCAAACACCCGGAUGGGUGUGCAGCUUUUUAAAAGAUGACAAACCCCCUCGAGGAUGAGAAACGCCACGAGGACACGAGGAGGAGGCGUGCUGCAAAUCCCAUGAAAGCAGCAGACCCACAGUAAAUGUUCGCUACACCACCGUCUGAUAGAUCCUCUCAUCCCUCUGCACCGCCCAGCCCCGCCACUGUUAGUUUCACCUCAGGUCACCUCGGCUUGCUCGGACACCGUCGCCAAAGUGUUUCUGAACCAUCAGCAUCAUCCAGGUUUCCAUCUUUUCCUUCCAAAGUCCAACCGAAAGCUCUUCUCCUUCUUUCUUUAACUCUUUAAUCUCCACAUGGAAGCAAAGUGGAAUCAGCUGCUGCUGUCUGACUGAAAGCAUCAGGAGACGUCUGUGGCAGAACCUGACGUGUUACGUGGAGGUCAGAGGUCGUGUAGAGGACCCAGCUGCAGGAUGCUGAGGCAGGCAGAAACCGACAUCAGAAGGUGGAUGAAGCAGGAGAACAUGGUGUGUUUGUAGGGCAGGCAUCACAGAGGAGACGGAGCAGAGGGGACGAAAGCAGGACACGGCCGAUGGAGUGUGCAAAGAGAGGAGGUGGAGGAUGGUAGAGCGGGAGGAUGGUUGGUUAGUUGGUUGGAGGGGGAGGAUGAAGAGACACGAUAACAGCAGGAGGGAGGAAACAGCAGAUGAGAUGAAGACUGCAAAGACUCGCGGGGGGAGUAGAAGGUUCAUGGAGCUGGCAUUUGGAGGACAGGAGCAGGCUAACGAAGGAAAGGUGAAACUGAGACUAAUGAAUGAAGGGGGGGGGUGAAGUCACGAGCUCGCCCUCAGUGCCCGUCGGCCUCCUCAGGCUCGAUGAUUAUUGACGUGUUUCUGAAAGAAAUGCAUCGUGGGAAAUGUGGUCGAAACAUGGCAUGAAACUGUUCUAAGAUGUUUUCUCCAAUAAAUAAAUGGAAAUGAUAUUUAUUAUGGAGAGCAGUAACUGCAAGCCAAGGACACAGGUAACAACUUCUAACACUGUAAACAUUGUGUGUAUAUCAUUUAUUUGUACUUUAAUAAGAUCGAUAGUUCCUUUGCACUGAACGGGACUGUGUAUGAUUUCGUUGUGUUUUUUCAAAAUAAAGAUUCUGAUAAAAACUAAAGGAUGUGGAGGAUUAACGAGGUAAAUAUAUCAGAGGACAGAUGCUCAACCUGAGGCGGGAAUAUCAGUCAGCUACAAACCUCUGCUCAGUGAACGGAUGUCUUUAUAGAAAUGUGUUUUUAGGGAACGUGGGUGCACCGUGAUUGGCCCACCUGUAAGUCCGUCAGCUGUUUGAACAUGUGAGCGCAGGAAAGCAUCAAAAACAUUAGUAAAAAAAAUUAGAGACAGCUGUGAUCGUCAUCCAAAUCCCAGCGAGGCGACAGGCGGUGCCGACAUCCAGCAGUAACAAGAACCAUCAAAAGUUCCUGUGAGAAAGAAACGAGUACGAGGAAAUAAAAAAACCCACAGCGGGGAUGUUUCACAGCUGCAGAGAGCGCGCACCCCAGAGGAAGCUUUGAGGUUUUAUUCAUUUAAGUAAGUGAUUGAAGUAAAAGCACCACCUUCCUCGACCUAAACACCGACGCUUUUGUUCGUGAAGGAGCGGCAGGUGUCCAGACCUGAACCUCGACCUCUGGGGCUUUGCAGGGCCACCAUCCACCCCGAACACCUCCAACUCACUCGUCCACGACAGCUGAAAUGUGACGUCUUUAUUUUAACCGUAUUUAUUCCCACAACAAAGCGUCUCACUGGGAUGUUUGAGAUCAGCGGCGUGUUUAACCUGCAGAACCUGACGGGUCAUCUUUGGACGUGUUUUCACUGAUUAGCGGUAACAGAUGACAUGAUUCACUUCCUACAUUUUUAUUUCUGUAUUUUUAUUUCUGCACAAACAAACAUGUCUGACUCUGACCUCGAGCUACAGAUCACAUGACCCUGAGCCGAGAGCUUCCUCACUCCUUCAUCCUGCUUCGUCUUCAUCGGCUUUUAUUGUCCUUUAUAAUCAUGUUUUUAUCAUUUCUGUUGUUUUUCACAUGUUAUUUGUACUGUUUUUGUAACUUUGUGGCUUUUAUGAACAUCCCGGUUCAGUGUUUCCACGUCUGUCAAAGCACACUUGUAUAAAUAAAGUUAUUAUUUAUUGCUGUUGUUAUUGAUUUGGGGAGAAAAGGGAAAGGAACAGGAAGUGAUGGGAGGGCGAAGCAGAGCUGUAGGAGAGAAGGAGGAGGAGGAAAAAGGAGGCGAGAACACGAGGAUAGAGGAGUGAGAGGAGGAGGUGAGGCAGGUGGGUAAACCAGGAUCAACUAAAGGCCUCUGUGCUGGAAGAGGGCGUGGCCAGCUUGACCUUCCUCUGCGCCCUCCUCUGCCUCCACCCCCGUAGAGCCCCGAGUGUUCAUGGGAACUUUCUGCAGCCAAUAAGAGCUCACUGGAAACCAGCAUGUAGACCAAUGAGAUCCUCUGGAAACCACCGACCCUUCCUUCACUCGUCCUCCUCCUCUUCUUCGUCCCCUUUUUCUUCUUCUUCUAAGUAUUUGCAUUCAGGCCCGUUGCGUGA